AGUGAACGCUGGCGGUAGGCCUAACACAUGCAAGUCGAACGGCAGCACAGUAAGAGCUUGCUCUUAUGGGUGGCGAGUGGCGGACGGGUGAGGAAUACAUCGGAAUCUACUUUUUCGUGGGGGAUAACGUAGGGAAACUUACGCUAAUACCGCAUACGACCUACGGGUGAAAGCAGGGGAUCUUCGGACCUUGCGCGAUUGAAUUAGCCGAUGUCGGAUUAGCUAGUUGGCGGGGUAAAGGCCCACCAAGGCGACGAUCCGUAGCUGGUCUGAGAGGAUGAUCAGCCACACUGGAACUGAGACACGGUCCAGACUCCUACGGGAGGCAGCAGUGGGGAAUAUUGGACAAUGGGCGCAAGCCUGAUCCAGCCAUACCGCGUGGGUGAAGAAGGCCUUCGGGUUGUAAAGCCCUUUUGUUGGGAAAGAAAAGCAGCAGGUUAAUACCCCGCUGUUCUGACGGUACCCAAAGAAUAAGCACCGGCUAACUUCGUG
This 492-nucleotide ribosomal RNA is filed under the name uncultured bacterium. RNAcentral's name for it is "partial 16S ribosomal RNA". It matches the Rfam family "Bacterial small subunit ribosomal RNA", at positions 29 to 507 of the family's 1533-position model. The record is from RNAcentral.